UGGCGGCCACGUUCGAUGAAUAGUUCCACGUCGUUGUCGCUGCGCUUGAUCGCCUUCUGCAGAAUGUCCACCACGCGCUGAGCACAAUUCAACGCCUCCUGCACCUCGUCAAAGAGUGGAAUUGGCCGAGUUGGGUAGCUUUGUUGGGGUGGCAGAGGUGGCGCUGAUGGUGGCCGCAUUCACACUUUCAAUCCAACUGAGAUAACUCGCCGAACUCGGCGAUUGAAACGUACGAUUAUCAUGCAUUCCAUCACGCUCAACCGUUGCACUGCGUGUUGCAUAAUCCGUACAAUCGGAACAAGUUGACUCCAAGUUAUCUCGAUACGGUGUUGGCCCCAGGGAUGUCGAAGACACGAAAUUCUUCGGUUUAUACUCCGAGAUGGAUUCCAAGCUUUGUCGCGAAUGAAUCCUGCUUGUUGCGCAGCGAGGCACUACUAGCUCUUCGUACAGUCGCGGAACGUUGAUGUUUUGCUACCAAUUGUCCAAAGAGAAUAAGGUCGGACGUCUCCUUAUCGCUGCGCAGCAUAUAAACUGCAUUCGGGGAGCUCCCCGAGGAGUCCGAGAUGGAAUCCCGCGGGCUAUUUUGCUGCGACAUUCUGCCUGCCUUCGUAGUCACUUUUAUCGCAGGUGUAGGAAGACUGAGUGUUCAAAGGAUACAGAUUCGGAUAGAGUUGGUUUACGGAUGGACGCGCAGGAUUUCCAUAGUGAUGGAUUAUUCACCGAUGGUUUUAUCACGAGUCGCUGGUCUUUCACAUGGGGGUGGCAUAGCAAACGAGUCGGACAACGAAGAAGAUAAUGAGAAAAUAUCAAGAUGUAGUCAAGUAUAGAUGUGACGAUUAACAAUAAUAUUCUUCCUCAAUUUCCUCUUCGUCCUUGUCAUAAGUUUAUAACGUAAGUAAGUAAGUACAUACGAAUGAGUGUUAUCUAUACGUUAUUCUCAUUUAUAAUAGGCGCCCAGGUUCGUACUUAAUUAUUUAAUUUGUUUACUUUUACCUUCUCUUAACAACUAAUUAAUGGUAAUAAAUAAUUACAGACAACGAGUUUCUUCUGCGCCUGCGUCCGUCGAUGCAACGUAUAAAACAAAUCGACGUCGACGCAUUUUCACACACUGUGAUCAGCCUCUACUGGUUUACAAACUUAAAACAAAACAGUCGCUACACCACAUUCGCCUACUUAAUGUUACAAUUUGUAAUAGUAAUAAUACUUAACAAUAAUGAUAAUUACACAAUCAAUAUUUCAAUUUA
Long non-coding RNA from Dalotia coriaria, 1244 nucleotides. RefSeq lists it as uncharacterized. The transcript has 4 exons. The record is from RefSeq and is a predicted model, not a curated record. Lineage: Eukaryota; Metazoa; Arthropoda; Insecta; Coleoptera; Staphylinidae.